UACGUAGGGGGCGAGCGUUGUCCGGAGUUACUGGGCGUAAAGGGCAUGCAGGCGGUCGGACGCGUUUUGUGUGACAGCGGGUGGCUCAACUACGCGAGCAUACGAAAGACGGUUUGACUUGAGGGCUCGAGAGGGACACGGAAUUCCGGGUGGAGUGGUGAAAUGCGUAGAGAUCCGGAGGGACACCGAAGGCGAAGGCAGUGUCCUGGCGAGUGACUGACGCUGAGGUGCGAAAGCCAGGGGAGCGAACGGG
This 253-nucleotide ribosomal RNA is filed under the name uncultured bacterium. Its description in RNAcentral is "partial 16S ribosomal RNA". It matches the Rfam family "Bacterial small subunit ribosomal RNA", at positions 524 to 776 of the family's 1533-position model. The record is from RNAcentral.